AUCUAUUUUCAUUUAAAACCCCAAACAGAAGGAAACAGGGAUUAAUUGUGUCUGCCCAGUAUGGCAUGAAGGUUUCAUCACCUGUGGUAACUCCAGUUGAUUGAAGGUGGUUACAUGAAGAGAUAUGUUGGAACAAAUUGUGAGACACUGUUAGGGCUCUGCUGGCAAGUGUGGUUACCUAUGAGUAAUGACUACUAUGGGUGCUGAAGGUGUGAGGGAAGGUGCAAGUGC
This 231-nucleotide long non-coding RNA is filed under the name Homo sapiens (human). Its description in RNAcentral is "non-protein coding lnc-GALC-14:1". Lineage: Eukaryota; Metazoa; Chordata; Mammalia; Primates; Hominidae. The record is from RNAcentral.